UGACAAGGUGUUAAGAAAAGAAAUAUCUGCUUUUAUUUCGUUCUGUUCUCUAGAGGGAUUUAGCAUUUUGCUGUGUAGCUCUUUCAUACGAAACUAACUUUCAAAGUAAACCUGGUUCCUUUGCCAACAUACUUUUUAAAGGCGCAAUACAGCUCUGUUUUCAAAAGUCCAUCUUGUUAGAAAUGUAUUGAUUUUGUUGUUUCUGGCUUACAGUGAGAGAUUGGACUUCAGGACCUCAAAAAAUACUGGUAACUUGGUUGAAUCCUACAAAAAACAACAACGGACAAAAGUAAGUUGUGUGUGGCUACUUCUAGUAUUAAGAGCCAUUCUCACGUGAAGUCCACCAUGGAUUCCUUAAUACUGUUUGGAGACUGAUCUCUGCACUUGUCCCUCCAUAAGGUUCAUUGAGAUGCCAAACUAUGGCUGGCUACAACUUCAGUACAUCUUGUAACAAUGCAGGCCAUGACAUGCCGGAGUGAUGGAGCAUGGUUUAUCACAUCUCCCUGGACAGAAGCGGGGGCUGUGAAGAUGGUCUGAAUUUCAGGAGAGCUCACCUGCCUCUGAGGGACUCAGGUAACUUCUCCAGCU
RNAcentral lists this long non-coding RNA (588 nucleotides) under Dromaius novaehollandiae (emu). RNAcentral's name for it is "lncRNA (ENSDNVG00000006411.1)". The record is from RNAcentral. Lineage: Eukaryota; Metazoa; Chordata; Aves; Casuariiformes; Dromaiidae.